RNAcentral lists this ribosomal RNA (120 nucleotides) under Salvator merianae (Argentine black and white tegu). Lineage: Eukaryota; Metazoa; Chordata; Lepidosauria; Squamata; Teiidae. The record is from RNAcentral.
CAGUUCGGCUCAUCUCUCCUGUAAUACCUUUUUCUGUCUUGGAAAGCUAAGUAGGAUUAGGUCAGGUUGGUAUUUGAAUGAGAGAACGCCAAGAAAUCCUAGAGUUGUAGGCUGGAUUGG